RNAcentral lists this ribosomal RNA (482 nucleotides) under uncultured bacterium. RNAcentral's name for it is "partial 16S ribosomal RNA". It matches the Rfam family "Bacterial small subunit ribosomal RNA", at positions 28 to 506 of the family's 1533-position model. The record is from RNAcentral.
AUUGAACGCUGGCGGCAUGCUUUACACAUGCAAGUCGAACGGCAGCGCGGGCUUCGGCCUGGCGGCGAGUGGCGAACGGGUGAGUAAUGCAUCGGAACGUGCCCAGUAGUGGGGGAUAGCCCGGCGAAAGCCGGAUUAAUACCGCAUACGACCUGAGGGUGAAAGCGGGGGACCGAAAGGCCUCGCGCUAUUGGAGCGGCCGAUGUCGGAUUAGCUAGUUGGUGGGGUAAAGGCUUACCAAGGCGACGAUCCGUAGCUGGUCUGAGAGGACGACCAGCCACACUGGGACGGAGACCCGCCCCGGACCCCCGGGGGGGCCGGAGGUGGGAAUUUUGGAAAAAGGGGGGAACCCCUAACCCGGCCUGGCCGCGUGGGGAAGAAGGCCUUUCGGUUGGAAACCGGUUUUUGUUGGGAAAAAAUCCUUCGGGGCUAAACCCCGGGGGGGGGGCGGGACCGGAAAAAAAAGCCCCGGCCAACCUCCG